RNAcentral lists this ribosomal RNA (498 nucleotides) under uncultured bacterium. Its description in RNAcentral is "partial 16S ribosomal RNA". It matches the Rfam family "Bacterial small subunit ribosomal RNA", at positions 28 to 523 of the family's 1533-position model. The record is from RNAcentral.
GGUGAACGCUAGCUACAGGCUUAACACAUGCAAGUCGAGGGGUAGCAGGGUAGCAAUACCGCUGACGACCGGCGCACGGGUGAGUAACACGUAUCCAACCUUCCCAUAACUCGGGGAUAGCCUUUCGAAAGAAAGAUUAAUACCCGAUAGUACUUUUUCAAGGCAUCUUGAAAAAGUUAAAGAUUUAUUGGUUAUAGAUGGGGAUGCGUUCCAUUAGAUAGUUGGUGAGGUAACGGCUCACCAAGUCUUCGAUGGAUAGGGGUUCUGAGAGGAAGGUCCCCCACAUUGGUACUGGGACACGGACCAAACUCCUACGGGAGGCAGCAGUGAGGAAUAUUGGUCAAUGGGCGAGAGCCUGAACCAGCCAAGUAGCGUGAAGGAUGAAGGUCCUAUGGAUUGUAAACUUCUUUUAUAGUAGAAUAAAGUGAGCCACGUGUGGUUUUUUGUAUGUAUACUAUGAAUAAGGAUCGGCUAACUCCGUGCCAGCAGCCGCCGUAA